GAGCUUGCUCCUGGAUUCAGCGGCGGACGGGUGAGUAAUGCCUAGGAAUCUGCCUGGUAGUGGGGGAUAACGUCCGGAAACGGGCGCUAAUACCGCAUACGUCCUGAGGGAGAAAGUGGGGGAUCUUCGGACCUCACGCUAUCAGAUGAGCCUAGGUCGGAUUAGCUAGUUGGUGGGGUAAAGGCCUACCAAGGCGACGAUCCGUAACUGGUCUGAGAGGAUGAUCAGUCACACUGGAACUGAGACACGGUCCAGACUCCUACGGGAGGCAGCAGUGGGGAAUAUUGGACAAUGGGCGAAAGCCUGAUCCAGCCAUGCCGCGUGUGUGAAGAAGGUCUUCGGAUUGUAAAGCACUUUAAGUUGGGAGGAAGGGCAGUAAGUUAAUACCUUGCUGUUUUGACGUUACCAACAGAAUAAGCACCGGCUAACUUCGUGCCAGCAGCCGCGGUAAUACGAAGGGUGCAAGCGUUAAUCGGAAUUACUGGGCGUAAAGCGCGCGUAGGUGGUUCAGCAAGUUGGAUGUGAAAUCCCCGGGCUCAACCUGGGAACUGCAUCCAAAACUACUGAGCUAGAGUACGGUAGAGGGUGGUGGAAUUUCCUGUGUAGCGGUGAAAUGCGUAGAUAUA
This 626-nucleotide ribosomal RNA is filed under the name Pseudomonas aeruginosa. Its description in RNAcentral is "bacterial SSU rRNA". It matches the Rfam family "Bacterial small subunit ribosomal RNA", at positions 76 to 698 of the family's 1533-position model. The record is from RNAcentral. Lineage: Bacteria; Pseudomonadati; Pseudomonadota; Gammaproteobacteria; Pseudomonadales; Pseudomonadaceae.